UACAUCAACUCAUAAGUUGCCAUAGAUAUACAAGGCGGCCAGGGUAUAGUGGUUCUUUAAGGCUAACAAGGCACAGAGACGUUACAAAUAAAAAAUAUUUACAAGUUCACAUGUAGAUUUGUUUGCUAAUUGGUCAUUUCCAGAGGGAAAUGGUUGAAGGUUAGGUGUGAGAUUCAAAGUACAUUUACAAGAUCUGGUGUCAGUACAUUACUCAAACAUCAGCACCUUCCUUUUAUUGGUAAUUAAAGAUUAGCAAGUCUUAAUAUCUAUAAAUAGACUAUAGAAGGCUCUGUUUUUACUCCUCAACUGACUAAGAAAAAAUGAUGAUUCCAGUAGUGAAGGCUUUCCUUCUCUUCUCUCUAAUGGCAUUCUUAGGAACUCAUGCAAGAACUUUACCAGAAGACCUAUUCAAGAGAAGGCCAUCAGAACAUCCUUCUCCACAAGUUGAUCCUCCACAUCAUAAUGUUAUAAGCAUUUCUUUUGGUACUGGAAAUUUACGCAACAUGAUCACAAGGCCAUCACAAGCACCACCACCGCCACCUCUGCCAAACGUAGGGCCUCCACGUAUUCAUACAGGUGCUGAGGUGCAUAUCAAGAAUGGAGCUCAAUCUUUGACAACCAUGAAAAGACACCACAAUCACAUCCUUCUCCACAUGUUGCACCUGGACAUGAACAGGGAAAACUUAUGAGCAUUCCAUCUAUUACUAGUGAAAGCCUACACGAAGAAAUCAUUAAGCGGAAACAUUUAUCAUCACCUCCUCCUCAUGUUGCACCUCCACAUGUUCAGACAAUUCCUACUGUGCCACAGAGAGUUCAUGCUUAUUCAGACAAUGAAGCGGAGAAGUUUAAGUGGUUAUCUCCUUUCCAAAGUAUCAUUUAGUCUGCAAUUCGAAAUUUUGAUUAUUUUUCAAGAAUGCCCUCUAUUUUUUGUAUCAUUACUGUUGUACUGGACAAUAUGAAGGUGCUAAAUCCUGCGUGGUUAAAUAUAAGUUAAUAUGAGCGUUAAUGCUUCGUGGUUAAAAGUUUGAUCUAUUUUUGUACUAUCAAGUAAGUGUAAUUUUUGGGUUUGUUCUC
This is a long non-coding RNA of Daucus carota subsp. sativus, 1074 nucleotides long. RefSeq lists it as uncharacterized. Lineage: Eukaryota; Viridiplantae; Streptophyta; Magnoliopsida; Apiales; Apiaceae. The transcript is spliced from 2 exons. The record is from RefSeq and is a predicted model, not a curated record.